CCUCGACCACCUAUUGAGAUGGACAUAUAGUCUCCCUAACUGACUCCCACAGAGACAGAUAUGUAGAGACUUUGAUGGAAACCUGGAGUGGCUGAGGUUCGGAACUUCGGGAGCAGUGGAGAGGUCAGGGGGAGCGUCCCAGGAACGGCACAGGGGAGGUUAGAGUUUGGCAGAGUGCCAAACUCCCGGGAACGUGAUCUGGAUCCAAUUCCUGGUCCAAUAAGCUGGACCCGGAAUAGGAGCCAAUAUUCCGCUAAGCUCUUCCCAUUCCCAAACCCCUCUGGAAUACUUCAUAACAUUCCAAGAUUCUUUCCAACAUCCUUCAACAGUGUGCAGGUGUGCUAUUAGUGUGAUACUACAACAAACACAUGUCAGUGGAAAGAAUGUAGCCUCAUGCCUGUUCACUUACUUAGCUCUGAUCCUAUAGGGUAUGACGUUAGUCUGCUUUAAGCAUAGUAAAUGAGACAUUGAAGUCUUUCUUCUAAGGGGGAAUUCCAAACUGUGGCGGAGAUCAUUGUAUAUCUGUUCCACUGGAAUGUGUGGAGAUUCUUUCCCUUCAGCUACACCAGAUAAGAGAUCAAAACGCUCAGCUCCAAGUCUGUGGGUUAC
Long non-coding RNA from Oncorhynchus tshawytscha (Chinook salmon), 609 nucleotides. Lineage: Eukaryota; Metazoa; Chordata; Actinopteri; Salmoniformes; Salmonidae. The record is from Ensembl.